RNAcentral lists this long non-coding RNA (230 nucleotides) under Mytilus galloprovincialis (Mediterranean mussel). Lineage: Eukaryota; Metazoa; Mollusca; Bivalvia; Mytilida; Mytilidae. The record is from RNAcentral.
GUCGUGGUGUUGUUUGAAAAAAAAAUCAUGUUUUGAAAUAAAAUAAAAGUUUAACAAUGGUUUCUUUAAAUGCAAAAAGCAGUUAAAAAUAUUUUUCAAGGUUUGAUCGUUUCAGCAUAGGAUCGUCACUCCUAUAUUGAAACUCCUUUGAACACGAAUUGGGUGACGAGUCCAAGUCAUGAUCGAAAGGGGUCGAAAGAAAUGCCAAAAGUUUGGUACGACUGUACCCG